Molecule: small RNA, 27 nt
Filed under: Bombyx mori (domestic silkworm)
Lineage: Eukaryota; Metazoa; Arthropoda; Insecta; Lepidoptera; Bombycidae
Description: ovarian small RNA-18039
Source: RNAcentral
UAAAACGUGUGAUGAAGUAUCAGUUGC